This 495-nucleotide ribosomal RNA is filed under the name Clostridioides difficile. Its description in RNAcentral is "bacterial SSU rRNA". It matches the Rfam family "Bacterial small subunit ribosomal RNA", at positions 300 to 795 of the family's 1533-position model. Lineage: Bacteria; Bacillati; Bacillota; Clostridia; Peptostreptococcales; Peptostreptococcaceae. The record is from RNAcentral.
CCUACGGGGGGCACCCAACUGAAUGGAGCCCUACGGGGGGCUGCAGUGGGGAAUAUUGGACAAUGGGGGGAACCCUGAUCCAGCCAUGCCGCGUGUGUGAAGAAGGCCUUAUGGUUGUAAAGCACUUUAAGCGAGGAGGAGGCUACUUUAGUUAAUACCUAGAGAUAGUGGACGUUACUCGCAGAAUAAGCACCGGCUAACUCUGUGCCAGCAGCCGCGGUAAUACAGAGGGUGCGAGCGUUAAUCGGAUUUACUGGGCGUAAAGCGUGCGUAGGCGGCUUAUUAAGUCGGAUGUGAAAUCCCCGAGCUUAACUUGGGAAUUGCAUUCGAUACUGGUGAGCUAGAGUAUGGGAGAGGAUGGUAGAAUUCCAGGUGUAGCGGUGAAAUGCGUAGAGAUCUGGAGGAAUACCGAUGGCGAAGGCAGCCAUCUGGCCUAAUACUGACGCUGAGGUACGAAAGCAUGGGGAGCAAACAGGAUUAGAUACCCCUGUAGUC